CAAAAGAAUAAGUCAAUAUCAAGUUUAUGAAUAUGGUGUACGUCAGAUGAAAAAGAGAAAAAUGUCAUAAGGCCAAUGUCAUGUCUAUGAAAGCUAGCCUGCACAUGAGCAGUACUCAAAAAUAAAGAAUGACCAGACCAAAAGAGAAAUAUAAUCUAUAAUAACUCAAUCUAUAAAUUUAACUGGACAUUUCUUCAAAUCAAUUAUUAUAUGAGAUAUUAAAUAUUUAACAAUUUUUAUAAUAAUAAAAAAACACUACAAGAACAUUUAUAAUGACCAAAG
RNAcentral lists this long non-coding RNA (282 nucleotides) under Trifolium pratense (red clover). Its description in RNAcentral is "long non-coding RNA (TPRA_LNC001321)". The record is from RNAcentral. Lineage: Eukaryota; Viridiplantae; Streptophyta; Magnoliopsida; Fabales; Fabaceae.